UGACAAGCUAAUUAAAGAAGGAGACGUUGU
This 30-nucleotide non-coding RNA is filed under the name Mus musculus (house mouse). The record is from RNAcentral. Lineage: Eukaryota; Metazoa; Chordata; Mammalia; Rodentia; Muridae.